RNAcentral lists this ribosomal RNA (253 nucleotides) under uncultured bacterium. RNAcentral describes it as "partial 16S ribosomal RNA". It matches the Rfam family "Bacterial small subunit ribosomal RNA", at positions 524 to 776 of the family's 1533-position model. The record is from RNAcentral.
UACGUAGGCAGCAAGCGUUGUUCGGAAUUACUGGGCGUAAAGGGCGCGUAGGCGGCCUUCUAAGUCAGACGUGAAAUCCCCGGGCUCAACCCGGGAACUGCGUCUGAGACUGGAAGGCUUGAAUCCGGGAGAGGGAUGUGGAAUUCCAGGUGUAGCGGUGAAAUGCGUAGAUAUCUGGAGGAACACCGGUGGCGAAGGCGGGUCUCUGGGCCGUAACUGACGCUGAGGAGCGAAAGCGUGGGGAGCGAACAGG